GGGGAUACAGCUCAGGGGUAGAGUGUGUGCUUAGCAUGCACGAGGUCCUGGGUUCAAUCCAGCAGCUCCA
This 70-nucleotide transfer RNA is filed under the name Camelus bactrianus (Bactrian camel). It matches the Rfam family "tRNA". From Rfam's summary of the family: Transfer RNA (tRNA) molecules are approximately 80 nucleotides in length. Their secondary structure includes four short double-helical elements and three loops (D, anti-codon, and T loops). Further hydrogen bonds mediate the characteristic L-shaped molecular structure. tRNAs have two regions of fundamental functional importance: the anti-codon, which is responsible for specific mRNA codon recognition, and the 3' end, to which the tRNAs corresponding amino acid is attached (by aminoacyl-tRNA synthetases). tRNAs cope with the degeneracy of the genetic code in two manners: having more than one tRNA (with a specific anti-codon) for a particular amino acid; and 'wobble' base-pairing, i.e. permitting non-standard base-pairing at the 3rd anti-codon position. RNAcentral also lists the same sequence under 2 other names. The record is from Rfam by way of RNAcentral. Lineage: Eukaryota; Metazoa; Chordata; Mammalia; Artiodactyla; Camelidae.